Molecule: long non-coding RNA, 722 nt
Organism: Oreochromis niloticus (Nile tilapia)
Lineage: Eukaryota; Metazoa; Chordata; Actinopteri; Cichliformes; Cichlidae
Exons: 3
Source: RefSeq, a predicted model, not a curated record
CAAGGUCCAGUGUUUCUUUUGAACAGCCUAAAGAGAAGAGCAAACAUAGCUUCAGGAGAAAUAUCGCCAAAUACUUGUGUUUUUCUUCUAUUGUCAAAAGCUUCAGUAAAACAUAAAUCUUUAUUAAAAUUCUUCUAUUAUUCAGAGACAGCUGGACUAAUUCUGAAAUCAGGAUCUUUAAGUCUGAAACGAUGAGCCAUUCAGACAGUGGCAAUGUGGGGGAAGAUGAAGUUUUUGAACCUCAACAUGAACAAGUAAACAGAGGGUCAAAGGUCACCACAAAAAUAGGGGCGGUGGUGGUUGUCUGUGUUCUCCUGGCAACUGCUGUCUUUUUGACGUUCUACUUCUGGUGAUUUACUGGAACAACAAAGAACCAGACAACUGGUUCCUCAUACCAGCAACUGGUAUAAAGAAAAUCCUGAUGGAGAAGUCUGUGACAGGACGGAGGUAAAAGGUGGCGCUCCUGGCCUGAAGUGUUGGUUUGAUAAAUGGUGCACUAUACCUCAAAGAAAUAACUUAACUGGACAGUUUGUAUUUGGUUUACAUCAAGUUCAACAAAACAAUCUAAGUACAGGGUAGAGAUAGUGAAAUGACACUUUCCAACUCUGAUGUCACAAACACUUAAAAGAAACUUCAAGGAAAAACUUAAAGAGAAGAGUUGAAUAAUAAAACAUGAAAAACCUAUCCUUCUAAUUGCUUUACCUGCUUAAUCAAUUAAAUGU